Molecule: transfer RNA, 66 nt
Filed under: Toxicochlespira sp. MNHN IM 2013-9841
Lineage: Eukaryota; Metazoa; Mollusca; Gastropoda; Neogastropoda; Conidae
Description: tRNA-Asn
Source: RNAcentral
UAAAUGAAAGCCAAAGUAGAGGCAUCUAUCUGUUAAUUAGAAGACUGUAAUAGAAUACUCAUUUAA